RNAcentral lists this ribosomal RNA (899 nucleotides) under uncultured archaeon. RNAcentral's name for it is "bacterial SSU rRNA". It matches the Rfam family "Archaeal small subunit ribosomal RNA", at positions 1 to 878 of the family's 1478-position model. The record is from RNAcentral.
CUCCGGUGAUCCCUGCCGGACCCGACUGCUAUCGGAUUGAGAUUUAGCCAUGCGAGUCGAACGUCCCCCUGUUGCGGGGGGCGUGGCGUACGGCUCAGUAACACGUAGUCAACCUGCCCUGGAGACAAGGACAACCCCGGGAAACUGGGAUUAAUCCUUGAUAGGUCAUCUCAUCUGGAAGGAGAGAUGGCUUAAAGGGGUACGCGGGCUUCUUCCGCGAAUUCGCUCCAGGAUGGGACUGCGUCCGAUCAGGCUGUUGGCGGGGUAAUGGCCCACCAAACCUGUAACCGGUACGGGCCUUGAGAGAGGUGGCCCGGAGAUGGACACUGAGAGAAGGGUCCAGGUCCUACGGGGCGCAGCAGGCGCGAAACCUUCGCAAUGCGCGAAAGCGUGACGAGGUUAAUCCGAGUGACUCCCGCUGAGGGGGUCUUUUGUCAGCUGUAAAUAGGCAGGCGAAUAAGGGGAGGGCAAGCCUGGUGUCAGCCGCCGCGGUAAUACCAGCUCCUCGAGUGGUCGGGGCGAUUAUUGGGCCUAAAGCAUCCGUAGCCGGUUCCGUAGGUCCUCUGUUAAAUCCAACCGCUCAACGGUUGACCUGCAGAGGAUACCGCGGGACUAGGAGGCGGGAGAGGCGGACGGUACUCCGCGUGUAGGGGUAAAAUCCUUUGAUCCGCGGAAGACCACCAGUGGCGAAGGCGGUCCGCCAGAACGCGCUCGACGGUGAGGGAUGAAAGCUGGGGGAGCGAACCGGAUUAGAUACCCGGGUAGUCCCAGCCGUAAACGAUGCUAGCUAGAUGAUUCAUUCGCAAGUCGCGAAUGAAGUGUCGCAGGGAAGCCGUUAAGCUAGCCGCCUGGGGAGUACGGUCGCAAGACUGAAACUUAAAGGAAUUGGCGGGGGAGCA